Molecule: ribosomal RNA, 468 nt
Filed under: uncultured bacterium
Lineage: Bacteria
Description: partial 16S ribosomal RNA
Rfam family: Bacterial small subunit ribosomal RNA
Source: RNAcentral
GGCGAACGCUGGCGGCGUGCUUAACACAUGCAAGUCGAACGGAAAGGCCCUGCUUUUGUGGGGUGCUCGAGUGGCGAACGGGUGAGUAACACGUGAGUAACCUGCCCUUGACUUUGGGAUAACUUCAGGAAACUGGGGCUAAUACCGGAUAGGAGCUCCUGCUGCAUGGUGGGGGUUGGAAAGUUUCGGCGGUUGGGGAUGGACUCGCGGCUUAUCAGCUUGUUGGUGGGGUAGUGGCUUACCAAGGCUUUGACGGGUAGCCGGCCUGAGAGGGUGACCGGCCACAUUGGGACUGAGAUACGGCCCAGACUCCUACGGGAGGCAGCAGUGGGGAAUAUUGCACAAUGGGCGGAGGCCUGAUGCAGCAACGCCGUGUGCGGGAUGACGGCCUUCGGGUUGUAAACCGCUUUCGCCUGUGACGAAGCGUGAGUGACGGUAAUGGGUAAAGAAGCACCGGCUAACUACGUG